Molecule: ribosomal RNA, 253 nt
Filed under: uncultured bacterium
Lineage: Bacteria
Description: partial 16S ribosomal RNA
Rfam family: Bacterial small subunit ribosomal RNA
Source: RNAcentral
UACGAAGGGUGCAAGCGUUACUCGGAAUUACUGGGCGUAAAGCGUGCGUAGGCGGUUUGUUAAGUCCGUUGUGAAAGCCCUGGGCUCAACCUGGGAAUUGCAGUGGAUACUGGCGAGCUAGAGUGCGGUAGAGGAUGGUGGAAUUCCCGGUGUAGCGGUGAAAUGCGUAGAGAUCGGGAGGAACACCCGUGGCGAAGGCGGCCAUCUGGACCAGCACUGACGCUGAGGCGCGAAAGCGUGGGGAGCGAUCCGG